This 41-nucleotide small RNA is filed under the name Arabidopsis thaliana (thale cress). Its description in RNAcentral is "ATSL305920". The record is from RNAcentral. Lineage: Eukaryota; Viridiplantae; Streptophyta; Magnoliopsida; Brassicales; Brassicaceae.
CUCACAUAUGUUUCUUUCCCUUUCCCAACAUUCGUCUUCUU